Molecule: unclassified non-coding RNA, 3174 nt
Filed under: Leishmania donovani
Lineage: Eukaryota; Euglenozoa; Kinetoplastea; Trypanosomatida; Trypanosomatidae
Description: gene:LdHU3.11.0530(CDS-product:hypothetical_prote in_conserved)
Source: RNAcentral
UUGCCGCUGCGAGACAGCAGAAGGGAGAGCGGAUACGCACGUGGCCUGCACGUGUCCCUCCUGUCUAUCUCCCUCCCUCCACCCCUUCACACACCCCACACACGCGCACCCAAGGGCGUAGGAUGGGGAAGAGGUGCAUAGAGAGCCUGUGCACCGGCGUCGUCACUAUGUGGCGCGCUUCUGACAAGCAUCAGCGACUCUCUCAUGCUGGCAUUCUCUGCAGAGCCCAGCGCUCCCACCGAGUCGCCCGUGUCGUGGGAGCUUUAGCUCCGAAAAGUCGCGUGCUAAGUGUUUUUACGAAGGCUCUCGGCUCCUCCUCCCUCUCGCCACCCUCCUCUGGUGGUUUACCAUACGCGGUCACCUGCUGGCUGCCACCAAUAGCGAAGUGUGCCAUCCUGGACUGCACGACGUCAACACCGGUUUCCGCCUCCAGCGCGCUCCGUUGCCUCGCUAUCGCACGCCUCGCUGAUGCCGUACCAGGCCGUAGAGCCCUCUCCACCUCUUCUUCGAGCAGUGUACAGGGCGUAUCUGCUGCCACUACUGCUAAAGGGUCACAUGAAUCCGCCACCGCUCUCGCUGCGGGUAAUACAGCGGGCACCUCCAACACUUCUGUGGCUCCCGCCCUGCUCUCCGAGAUUCGCGCGGUUCUGGAGAGGCAAGCUGACCAGACAUGGUUGCCAGUCAGUGACUUGUACGCUGCUUUGCCGUCCCAUGUGCGUCGAUGUUACGUGAAGCCGCACAAGUCCAUGGCCCACGUAUUGCAGAAGUGCGCCCAUGUGCUCGGCAUAUCGCUGAACGCGACGGGCGUGUACUACGCAAAAGGAAAGAUGCCUUACCCUGCAGCCUCGUCGAUCGAGGGCACCUCCUCGGCAGAGAGCAUAGGCAGCAGCCCUGGCAAGGCCGCUAAGAGCAACACAGUCAGUGCCGUGAAGGAGAGCCAAGCUGCAAAUCUGAAGUCCAAUGCUCACGGCGACAGCGUGGCUAGGGCAGCUGUGCACACCCCCUCGCCCCCAUCAUCUACAGAAAUGAACGCUACCGACCUUGACGCCACUUCUCCCAGCUCGAGUACAGCGGGCCCUGUGGGCUUCUUCUUCGACGUUGGUUUGCACGACAUACCGAAUCCGCCGCGAGACUUCGAUGUGACCCCGUCGGCGCUCGUUGUGGAUGGGACGCACUCCAGCGCGAAUGGUGCCGUGAUCGCGGUGCGGGAUUUUGUCUCGCACAUCCCGCCCUUCUUUGUUCCAGUGACAGAAGUGGUCGCGAAUAUGCCCGGCUACACGGCGGAACAUCUUGAGGUGUACCUCAAUGUCAAGUCGUUGGAGUUGGUAACCGUGGCCGGCGAGCGCUAUGUGCGCCUCUAUGGAAGCUUCGGCGAUCUGUCACUGAGUGGGAGUGAGGUAUCAGAGAAACUUUACGCGCGCUACCGCCCCGAUGUGGCUCUUGUAGCGGCGUUCGAAGCCGCCUUUGAAGGCAUCUACGACAAAUGGAUGCCGCUGCCGGAGCUGCUGCGCCGUGUUGGACCGGAUGUAACGGCGCAGCUGCCCUAUCAAGGCCCCGCUGCCAUCACGUACUUCGCCCAGAUGCAGCACCGCUUUGCUUUCGCAGUACGUGAGGUCCCCACAACGGGCGGCGGUGCAGCGGGGGCGCCAUCGUCACCGCAGUUCACGACGGAGGCCGCGGUGCUGCUGCGGAAGCCCGGCUACUCUGGCCUCGAAGCUCACUCUACGCCAACGCCAAAGAGCUUCCAGGCACUGAUGAACCUGGUGCCGGGUGACACGCAGGUCGACAUUGAUGUUGUCAGGUGCCAGCUCACCUCCGAGGUUCGCGCGGAACUGAGCCGCUACUAUGACGGGCUGGAAGGUUUCUUUGCCGCUCACAAACCAGUCUUCUUCGUUCCGCCAGAGACGCCGACAGUGGUGAUGCGGAUGCGUUAUCGGCUGCGCACUCAACGCGCGAAACUGCCGCUGGAGGAACAGUUGCGCAUAGCCACGGAUGCCCGCGAUAAGGCACGCAUUCGAUCUCUGCGCCGCAAGAUCGCUUUCCGUGACGACCCGUCUCACCCGCUCCACGACCCAGAAAACCUGGCGAAGGAAGUGAGCAAGCACCUUCCCCGCCGUGGCUUCGUGUACCUCAAGAUAUUUCUCAAGCGCAACGUGCCGGAGGAGUUGUUGAUGUACAUGCCCAAGCGCAUACGAUGCUUCUUCAACAACUAUCCGCAGUACUUCACUCAGUUUGAGUACCAGAGCGCCGGUACGUGGUGUCUCUGUCGACCCGAUCAACCGCUGCCGCGCGGGGUGAUUCGACAGAACUUCAGCGAUGGCGAUCUUCUCCGGCUCAUCGCCGAGUUCCUUCAGCAGCGCGGCGCUCGUGCGGCGUCCAUGGUUCACACAAACCUCCCCUUCGGCGCCCAGGAGGUGAUUCGGCGCAGGUACGGCGGUGUGUACUUCUUCGUGACUCGAUACCCGCAGUACUUCAACGUUGUGCUCAAAACGGACAAGCAAAACGUGAAAAGCAGUGCUGUGGUGCAUCUCAUCCAAGUGCCCAGCCAAGAGCUGUCGGACGCCACCAUGGCGGCAAGUGCGGCUUCUCUGAACAACCCGAAUGCGCCAAGCCAUGACGAUGAUGAUCAUGAAAGUGGCGACGACGACGACGAUGGGGACCUCGACGACGGCUUGGAUUGAGGAUGUGUGAGCGCACAGACCACACACGUACACACAUGACCAGUCAAGCUGUUGCUGAGGGAGCAAGUUGGUUUCUGCGGUUGCUCGCUGAUGUGAGGUGGGAGGGUGUAUGUGUGUCUUAGCAGGUUCGUGACUCCACAGUUUUCUGUUCUCUUCCGCCUGUCAAGCAGAAGGUGCGGAGCAGAAGCAAUGACGAACAAAAAGAUGAAAAGAUGCGUAGCGUCUGGUGGGGACGCCGUCAUCGCUCAUGGCGAGACGAGCGCUCAGGGCGUCCCUUUCUGUUCUAUGGGAGGGUGAACCAGGCGCCUCUCUCUCUCCGCCGAUUCGUCCUCUGGUUUGUGAAAAGGGUGACGCCACGUCAGGGGUUUCCCGCCUGCUUGUCUUCGGCUCCUGCACCUCUCCACCUUCCUUCCUUACGUCUCCUUCCGUCUUGCCUCUUCGUCUCGUCUCGUCUCGCGCUCCUCCCUUCCUCUCACCUGUCCUCCUGUGCAAG